Molecule: long non-coding RNA, 1427 nt
Filed under: Homo sapiens (human)
Lineage: Eukaryota; Metazoa; Chordata; Mammalia; Primates; Hominidae
Description: long independently transcribed non-coding RNA 2932, transcript variant 6 (LINC02932)
Source: RNAcentral
GACUUUGAGAGUUCCGCUUAUGGCUGCAGGGUCAACCAAUUUGUUGUUGGGACCCUGGAGCUGAAUGGCUUUCCUGUCUGUCGAUCCUUGGCUCAGCCCAGAAGUACAGGAAAAGCGGAAGCUGGUUCCAGACAAACCAACGCUCUCAACUCUGAAGAGUCAGGAGUUGUUAGAGAGCCUUUUCUCAGAAAGCCUGACACCCGUGUCUUUAGUCUGGCAUCCAUGCUAGUCACUUUUAACUGGCCAAUAGGUGCCUGGUAUUUAGUCCCCAAAUUCUAAGGAAAAAUAAGACAGAAUAGCAAGCAAAAGGGGUCUGAUGGUACUCACCACUUGGUGAUAGGCGACAGUCCCAUCUGGGUCACCAAAAUAUGUCUGGAAUUGGUUCCUUCCAGUGGGUUCUUGGUCUCACUGACUUCAAGAAUGAAGCCGCGGACCCUCGCACUAUGUGAAGAUUGUGCCUGCUUCCUCUUUGCCUUCCACCAUGAUUGGAAGUUUCCUGAGACCUUCCCAGCAGCAGAAGCCUAUACAGUCUGCAGAACUGUGAGCAGAUUAAACCUCUUUUCUUAAUAAAUUACCCAGUCUCAGAGUUCCCCAGCUAUCCCCCAGUGGCUUGGAGAUUCCCAUUUCAAGAGUGUAGAGUUCUACCCAGAAGGUGGCUGCGUGGACAGUGACUACAUUCUCAGCUCCAUGCCUAUUUGGGUGAGGCCCUGUGAUGAAUGGUCAUCAGUGGAAUAUGAGCAGAAGUGUUAUGUGUCAGAAGAAGACAUGCCUUCUCCAUCCUUUCUUUUCCCCUACCCUCUGGUUUGUGUUGGUUUCCAGGGUGUCCUUGGGAGGGGUUUGGGCCAUAAUUUCAAAAGACACAGUGCUAAAUACCACAAUCCCAAAUGUUGAAAUCUGGAAAGAUCAAAAUCUCUAAAGGAAGGCACACAUUUAAGAUGGCAAAGCCACUGUGCCUUUGUCCCUAAAUAAGAGUGGGGCAACUGUGCCUUUCACCACUCUGCUGUUAACCAGUUAUACACACAAUGAACUGUUACGUUAGCAAAAAAAAUGUUUCUUGUAAAGGCCACUGAAAUUGUGGAGUUUGUCUGUUACAGUAACUAGCAGUACUCUAACUAAAAUGAGCGUCUUUCAUAAUAGAGAUGAGAAUUCAGAUUUCUACUAUUCUCUGACAAAUCUCCAUAACACUUAUUUACCAAACCACUGAUUUUAAUUGUGCUGAACGGAAAUGAUCAUGGAGAGUCACUUUUCCAAUGACCUCUCUGUCCCUUGGUUUUCCAUUGUUUAAGGUGAAUGAUAAUUUCUAUCUUUUAUUUCUAUUUGUGGUAUCCAAACAAAAUCAUCAUAAAAACUCCAUUAUGGCAUAGUUAAUUGUAAAAUAAAUAUAUAUGACCAAAAAAAUUAAAAAGACUUCCCUCUUUUAAACCUUU